This 374-nucleotide long non-coding RNA is filed under the name Homo sapiens (human). RNAcentral's name for it is "non-protein coding lnc-TMEM18-6:2". The record is from RNAcentral. Lineage: Eukaryota; Metazoa; Chordata; Mammalia; Primates; Hominidae.
GGUUCUCAAUUUUGGAUGUGCAUAAAAACACUUCUGUAGUGAUUUUAAAUGAAAGUGCCUGGUCUCAACUAACACCUGCUGAACCAGAAUUGCCACGGUUUGGGUUUGAGAAUCUGUUUUUUUGUUUUUGCUUUUAUAAGUUUCAGAAGCAAAAGUGAGGGUCGCUGGUUUGCAGGUGAUUGAAGGGUUUGGCCACCUGUGGGCCAUGAUGUCAUUGUUGUUGGUGGUGGUAAUGGUGAGGUUGGGGCUGUGAUGUCGUUGUCAUUGGUGGUAGUGAUGGUGAGGUCGGGGCUGUGAUGUCAUUGUCAUUGGUGGUGGUGAUGGUGAGGUCAGGGCUGUAGUGUUGUCAUUGGUGGUGGUGAUGGUGAGGUCAG